RNAcentral lists this long non-coding RNA (1841 nucleotides) under Nicotiana benthamiana. Its description in RNAcentral is "long non-coding RNA (NBEN_LNC032564)". The record is from RNAcentral. Lineage: Eukaryota; Viridiplantae; Streptophyta; Magnoliopsida; Solanales; Solanaceae.
UGGCAAACUCUAUUUUUUUUCAAAAUUAAUUUGACAAACUUAAGCAGAAAUCAUUAUAAAAGAAAACAAACAGCUGGAGCCUCUAGCAACUCAUCGAUACUAGAAUUGUGUAAACCCAAGCAAACACACCUUGAACUAUGUAUUUUUAAACGUACUAUAUCAUACAUAGCUUUACAUAAACCUUUACUAUAGCGAUGUUAACAGUCCGUUCAUACAAAUCGAGCUCAAAUAACAUUAUAACAUCCAAUACUCUAAGGUUACACACUAAAUCUGAACUACCCUAAGCUAUUAGCAUAAACCAUCUACUCAACAUAAAACAGAAAUUGAAAAACUGAAGCAUUUAACCACACAUAACUAAUAGUAAUUAUAGCAGAAUUUUAUGAUUUCUACUCAAACUUCAACUUGCAUUUUCAAAUCUUCAUACAUGCUAGUUAAUGCUCAACAUUACAAAAGGAAAAGAGGUGAUCACAGUAACCAGCAAUAGCAGUAGCACUCAACAGAUCAACACCCAGAUUUAACCAGUCCAGCAGUAAAAAAAAACAAUUCGGAUAAAAGGAACCAAUUGACAACUUAAACCAAGUCUUCCACUUCACAAGCUCAAACCAUUUUCACACCCAAAAAGAAUUAAAUGUCGUUCAGAAAUGAAGAAUUUCAAAAUUUAUAGCAGAAAUCUUAAUGGAAUAGUGUUUUCAAUCUUUCAGCCGUCUAUCUCCUUUUUUUUUAUCCAUAUUAGCCUCUCUUAGUAGUGCCUUUAUAGGCAAGGAAAUAGGGCACAAUGUAGUGAUCAGAUUUGUAUUUUCUGUCCCUUUUAAAUUUUAUUUUUACUUAAAAGCCCCUAAAUUUUUGACUUGCCUGCCAAGCAAGUCUAUUGCAGCUUCUAAGAAGCUUCCUCGGGUUGUUAUUAAAAGGUUCCCUAGGUUAAUUAUCCAAACCACCCCUUAGCUACCUUGUUACCCUCCUGAACCUCAAAUGGGUUAUGGGUCAAUGACCCAAAGGUUGAAUCCAUUUAGACCCCCAGCCCAAACCUGAACUUACAGGCAUGAACCUCAAUCCCAAGCGCAAUUAAAACCAAACCAUCUGAGUAAAACUGAAAACAAAAGGAAACAGAAACAAUUCGAGCAACCUUCAAAAAUCCAAUUAAUGAACAAACAUUUAAUGAAUUUGAAACUAAAACAAUAACAGACUGUUUAUUACUAAUUAAAUAAAAGAAAGCUUCUUAAAACUAAUCAUGCAUGUAAAGGAUGACUCUAAAACUGGGAAAGCAAAAGUCCAAAAGCAGAGGAAGAAGCAUACAAAAUAGACAAAUCAAAAGAAAAGGUGACAGAACAAGAAAGGUACCUAGAAGAUAGAAAAUAGCGAUGAAUCUUUACACUUUUCUAAUCUUGACUCAACCUUAGAUUACACAUGUGUUUUCUAAUCAAAAAACACUUGCAUAGCCUCAAAAUGAGCCUAAAAAUUCAAUGAGAACCUCAAUCGGACAGAACAAGAACUUUUAGGGUUGAUCUUGAUUCCAAAAUGUGAAGGCUUCCAGGGAUAUUCGAAGAAACACGGCUUCAGGUUUGGGAAGAAGGGGUCGAGCGGGUGGCCUGGUGUUAUUUUGGGCGUAUUUGGAGGUGGCGCCGCCACCAGAGGAACUGUGGCGCCGCUAGGGUUUUUAAAAUUUAAAACUUUUCUGUUGGAUUUGAGAGAAACGGAGCGUGGACUUGGGACGAGGGAGUAGAGGAGAAGCCAUGAUGUUAAUUUCAGGGAUAUUGGACACUGGCCGCCGCCGUGGGGUGAUUCCGAUGGUGGCGGACGGCGGCGAUGGAAGGAAUCUCUGGUGAGGUGAGAGAUGAGAGAUU